AUAAAGCAACUCUUGAAAGAGGCGGGCUCCUUUUCACAAAGAGUGCUUCUGUUAUGAACAUUUCUUUUUUGUUUUAAUGCUAGGCAGUUUUUGCUUCCGUCUGCAUUGAAUGCCAAAAACUUCGGAUUUCACACAUGAAUUAUCAUGUUAAGCUCCAAGAUGUUUGAGAGCCUAUAAUAAAGCAUAAAGAAAGUAUGUUAAGUUCCACAAGCAUGUGGAGUUGGCCAUUUCUAUUUGUUGAAAUGAGAAAUUACUUUUGUAGGAAAAUGUGUUCAUAAUAUGUGUGGUUGACUUUUUGUAAUGCCCUCACUUUAGAUAGUCUGUACGUUCUACUGUUCCGGUGAU
Molecule: unclassified non-coding RNA, 345 nt
Filed under: Hevea brasiliensis (rubber tree)
Lineage: Eukaryota; Viridiplantae; Streptophyta; Magnoliopsida; Malpighiales; Euphorbiaceae
Source: RNAcentral